Molecule: ribosomal RNA, 253 nt
Filed under: uncultured bacterium
Lineage: Bacteria
Description: partial 16S ribosomal RNA
Rfam family: Bacterial small subunit ribosomal RNA
Source: RNAcentral
UACGGAGGGUGCAAGCGUUAUCCGGAUUCACUGGGUUUAAAGGGUGCGUAGGAGGGCAGGUAAGUCAGUGGUGAAAUCUUCGAGCUUAACUCGGAAACUGCCAUUGAUACUAUCGAUCUUGAAUUAUCUGGAGGUAAGCGGAAUAUGUCAUGUAGCGGUGAAAUGCUUAGAUAUGACAUAGAACACCCAUUGCGAAGGCAGCUUACUACGGAUAUAUUGACACUGAGGCUCGAAAGCGUGGGGAUCAAACAGG